CAGCCGCCGCGGUAAUACGUAGGUGGCAAGCGUUGUCCGGAAUUAUUGGGCGUAAAGCGCGCGCAGGCGGUUCCUUAAGUCUGAUGUGAAAGCCCACGGCUCAACCGUGGAGGGUCAUUGGAAACUGGGGGACUUGAGUGCAGAAGAGGAGAGCGGAAUUCCACGUGUAGCGGUGAAAUGCGUAGAGAUGUGGAGGAACACCAGUGGCGAAGGCGGCUCUCUGGUCUGUAACUGACGCUGAGGCGCGAAAGCGUGGGGAGCAAACAGGAUUAGAUACCCUGGUAGUCCACGCCGUAAACGAUGAGUGCUAAGUGUUAGAGGGUAUCCACCCUUUAGUGCUGUAGCUAACGCAUUAAGCACUCCGCCUGGGGAGUACGCUCGCAAGAGUGAAACUUAAAGGAAUUGGCGGG
Molecule: ribosomal RNA, 410 nt
Filed under: uncultured microorganism
Description: bacterial SSU rRNA
Rfam family: Bacterial small subunit ribosomal RNA
Source: RNAcentral